RNAcentral lists this ribosomal RNA (501 nucleotides) under uncultured bacterium. Its description in RNAcentral is "partial 16S ribosomal RNA". It matches the Rfam family "Bacterial small subunit ribosomal RNA", at positions 28 to 523 of the family's 1533-position model. The record is from RNAcentral.
GAUGAACGCUAGCGACAGGCUUAACACAUGCAAGUCGAGGGGCAGCAUGAGGUAGCAAUACCUUGAUGGCGACCGGCGCACGGGUGAGUAACGCGUAUGCAACCUGCCCGAUACCGGGGUAUAGCCCAUGGAAACGUGGAUUAACACCCCAUAGUACUUUUAUCCUGCCUGGGAUGGGAGUUAAAUGUUCAAGGUAUCGGAUGGGCAUGCGUCCUAUUAGUUAGUUGGCGGGGUAACAGCCCACCAAGACGAUGAUAGGUAGGGGUUCUGAGAGGAAGGUCCCCCACAUUGGAACUGAGACACGGUCCAAACUCCUACGGGAGGCAGCAGUGAGGAAUAUUGGUCAAUGGACGAGAGUCUGAACCAGCCAAGUCGCGUGAGGGAAGACUGCCCUAUGGGUUGUAAACCUCUUUUAUAAGGGAAGAAUAAGUUCUACGUGUAGAAUGACGCCUGUACCUUAUGAAUAAGCAUCGGCUAACUCCGUGCCAGCAGCCGCAGUAA